Molecule: long non-coding RNA, 1942 nt
Filed under: Elaeis guineensis (African oil palm)
Lineage: Eukaryota; Viridiplantae; Streptophyta; Magnoliopsida; Arecales; Arecaceae
Description: long non-coding RNA (EGUI_LNC040176)
Source: RNAcentral
CCCACUCUCCCUCCCUCCACUGUCCCCAUUCUUCUACUCCCUCUCCCUCAAAUUAUUAUCCAAAACAGGACCUUUCAGCUUCUCCUCCAUCCUCUUUAUCAACUCCUUGACACUAUGGUUGCUGCCGCAGCUUCAAUGUUGCUGCUGCCAAAUCCCCGUGCCUGAGGUCAGAGGCGAUCUCUUCGGCUGAGGUGGUGAAGCUGGGCAGAGGAGGCGGAGAGCGAACGAAUGGAGGUCAACGAUGGGAGGGACACAGUGGUCCGAGGGAUCGACAUGUUUUUUACUCCUGCCCCUCUGGAUAAGGACACUUGCGUAAGGGUCUUCCUGCUUUCUUCUUGUGAUUGAUGAUAGUAUGAUGAUAAUGAUUCAAGAAGUACUGUUUUAGUUCUGAGACUGUUGCUUUUAUGUAAACCACGAAUCUUUUUUCAAGCACCAUCUGUUUAAUGUUCUAGAAGUUGAUCACUCUCUUUUUCAAGCACCCCGAGUUUAGUGUUCAAGAAUAACACAGCAAGAAGAAAGAAAAUGAUGAAAUCUGAAAUUUAAUAGAGGUCUAAGCAAUGCAAGAUUUGGAAGUACUUUCGUCAUUUAAAGUGCAUGAGUAUAUUUGGCAUGUUCAAUGAAAAAGAGCUGGAAAAUCUAUGAUAUUUGAGGACACCUACUUAAGUCCACUUGUCAUAGAAUUCAUCAACUUGGGCAAACAUGUAAAAGAUUUUACCAUGUUUAAAGAGUGGAUUUUGACAUAACAAGUAAUGUAACCAACAAGAAAUAGCCAGGUAAAAUAACAAGGACUCUUAAAACAAACUUAAGGGUAAAGUGAACAAAUUUUAAUACAAUUGAGAAGACUCUUGUUCUAUAUUUUACAACUUAACCAACCUAUAGGGGUUGUUCCCUUGGACUCAAGUAGUCAUGAAAAUUUAGCACUAUUACUCUAUGCUCCAUUCAAGCACAUUGAAUAUGCUGCCAAUUGGAGCUCAACAUUUUCUUAAUGCUUCGCCGUAUAGUAAAUAACAUAUUUUUUUUUGAAAAAAUAAUACUAAAGGUUUGUUUGGUUCAUAGAAAGAACUUUUUCUCAUUAGAAUACUUUUAUCGGGAACCUGAUAAGGUGAUUUUGAUAUGUUUGGUUGACCAUAAAAAUAUGACAUAUUCCAUAUUGUCUUGUGUUUAGUUGAGCAUCUAUUUUUUUGAAAAAAUUAUAUAAAAUAUUUAUUAUAUCCUUAAUAAGAGAAAAAACCAUAUCCUAUUUUAUUCAUAGCUUUAAGGGCUCUUUUGGAAAAAACCUUAAAUUCCUAACCUAUGGAAAAGGAAAAGUCUCAUGUUCCACAUGAGUUUUUUUUGAUGAUACAUGAAAAUUUUAUUUUUACUAGAACGCCAUUGUCCAGUCUCUCUCCUUUAAAAAAUUCCAGCCAAAUAAAGAAGAUUUCUUCAUUUUCUUAUUGACCAUGCUUUGCUCUCUUCUUUCCCCACAAACCAAACAAGUUCCAAAUGAUUAAGCUCUCUCUCUCUCUCUCCCACUCUCACUCUCUUUGGGUUAAAAAAGUUCCCUCUUGCUCAAGUGAGAGAAAUAAUAGCUUUGAUUGCCAAGUCAAAAAUGUAAUCAUAGUUCUUAGAUGAAAAUCACUUUAAUACGAUCACAGUCUUCCAUAAUUUUGCUGAUGCGCAAACACAGGGCCUAUCAUGUAUCAUUAGUAGGCCUAACACCAUUUUGAUGCGUAUCCAACAUGUUGGGCCAAGGCCAGCAGGCCCAGUCCAACUGCAAUCAUGUGUGAUUGAGCUAUUUCUAAAUUCAUAGGAUUCGAUUUUCACUAUUUAUCCCUAUGCAUACUUCCCUCUCCCUCUCUCUAUUCUAUCAGGGUUUACGCCCCCAAGGAGGACUUGGUGAUGAACCCAACCGCAUCCACCACCUCGUCCUAUUUUGUUGGCCACUCGAGAGAGAGGAUGCGAG